RNAcentral lists this ribosomal RNA (477 nucleotides) under uncultured bacterium. RNAcentral describes it as "partial 16S ribosomal RNA". It matches the Rfam family "Bacterial small subunit ribosomal RNA", at positions 30 to 523 of the family's 1533-position model. The record is from RNAcentral.
AUUGAACGCUGGCGGCAUGCCUAACACAUGCAAGUCGAACGAGAAAGUGGAGCAAUCCAUGAGUACAGUGGCGCACGGGUGAGUAACACGUGACUAACCUGCCUUCGAGUGGGGAAUCACCUCGGGAAACCGGGGCUAAUACCGCAUAACAUCAUCGGGUGAAAUUCCUGCUGAUCAAAAGUUUUUUGCUUGAAGAGGGGGUCGCGGCUGAUUAGCUAGUUGGUGGGGUAACGGCCCACCAAGGCAGUGAUCAGUAGCCGGCCUGAGAGGGCGCACGGCCACACUGGAACUGAAACACGGUCCAGACUCCUACGGGAGGCAGCAGUGGGGAAUUUUGCGCAAUGGGGGAAACCCUGACGCAGCAACGCCGCGUGGAGGAUGAAGUCCCUUGGGACGUAAACUCCUUUCGAUCGGGAAGAAUAAUGACGGAACCGGAAGAAGAAGCCCCGGCUAACUUCGUGCCAGCAGCCGCCGUAA